UGAAUACGAGACGCUACGGCGUCGAAGCAGUCGAUGUCAUACUUCCAAGAGAAGCUCGCAAUGUCAUAAACAAAGAAUGCCUGUACCAUAACCGACACAGGUGGGUAGGUAGAGUAUACUAAGGGGCGCGAGAUAACUCUCUCUAAGGAACUCGGCAAAAUGACUCCGUAACUUCGGGAGAAGGAGUGCCUUAUUUAUAAGGUUGCAAUAACAAGAUCCAAGCAACUGUUUAUCAAAAACACAGGUCUCCGCUAAGUCGUAAGACGAUGUAUGGGGGCUGACGCCUGCCCAGUGCCAGAAGGUUAAAGAAGUUGGCUAGCAUUCGCGAAGCUGAUAACUGAAGCCCUGGUGAACGGCGGCCGUAACUAUAACGGUCCUAAGGUAGCGAAAUUCCUUGUCGGGUAAGUUCCGACCCGCACGAAAGGCGUAAUGAUUUGGAUACUGUCUCGGAGAGGGACUCGGUGAAAUAGACUUGUCUGUGAAGAUGCGGACUACCUGCACCUGGACAGAAAGACCCUAUGAAGCUUUACUGUAACUUGACAUUGAAAUUGGACUUUAUUUGCGCAGUAUAGGUGGGAGGCGUUGAGCAGAUUCUUGCGGGAAUUUGGGAGCCAUCAGUGAGAUACCACUCUUGUAAUGUUAGAUUUCUAACUUCGUAUCCUGAUCGGGUCAAAGGACAGUGUCAGGCGGGCAGUUUGACUGGGGCGGUCGCCUCCCAAACGGUAACGGAGGCGUACAAAGGUUUCCUCUGAACGGGUAGAAAUCGUAUCUAGAGUGUAAAGGCAUAAGGAAGCUUGACUGUGAGACCUACAAGUCGAGCAGGGACGAAAGUCGGUCUUAGUGAUCUGACGGUGCUGAGUGGAAAGGCCGUCACUCAACGGAUAAAAGUUACUCUAGGAUAACAGGCUGAUCUCCCCCAAGAGCUCACAUCGACGGGGAGGUUUGGCACCUCGAUGUCGGCUCAUCGCAUCCUGGGGCGGUAGUACGUCCCAAGGGUUGGGCUGUUCGCCCAUGAAAGCGGUACGCGAGCUGGGUUCAGAACGUCGUGAGACAGUUCGGUCCAUAUCCGGUGUAGGCGUUAGAAUAUUGAGAGGAGCCUUCUUUAGUACGAGAGGACCGAGAAGGACAUACCUCUGGUGUACCAGUUAUCGUGCCAACGGUAAACGCUGGGUAGCUAUGUAUGGAGAGGAUAACCGCUGAAAGCAUCUAAGUGGGAAGCCCACCUCAAGAUAAGUAUUCUCAUAAGAAG
RNAcentral lists this ribosomal RNA (1249 nucleotides) under metagenome. RNAcentral's name for it is "bacterial LSU rRNA". It matches the Rfam family "Bacterial large subunit ribosomal RNA", at positions 1564 to 2823 of the family's 2925-position model. The record is from RNAcentral.